GCCGGGAUGGCGAAAUAGGCAUACGCGAAUUCCUCAAAAGAAUUUGUCCGAAAGGGCGUGCGGGUUCGAGUCCCGCUCCCGGCACCA
This 87-nucleotide transfer RNA is filed under the name Actinomadura sp. BRA 177. RNAcentral's name for it is "tRNA-Leu". It matches the Rfam family "tRNA". Rfam says of the family: Transfer RNA (tRNA) molecules are approximately 80 nucleotides in length. Their secondary structure includes four short double-helical elements and three loops (D, anti-codon, and T loops). Lineage: Bacteria; Bacillati; Actinomycetota; Actinomycetes; Streptosporangiales; Thermomonosporaceae. The record is from RNAcentral.